GUCCCGGCUGGCUCGCCGAAACCGGCUCGUGGCAACACGGCCUGGGCCUGGCCGCCGCAGCAGCCAGCGCCCGCGGCCUCUCCUCCGCGGCCCUUCCUCUCCUCCCCGCGGCCUCGCCCGCCUCCCUCCGGCCCGGCCCAGCACCCGCAGGCGAACCGAGCUCGGCGCAGCCGCGUCCUGCUCGCCUCAUGCGAGUAGAAUGAGCGGAUAAUGCCCCUUGCAAACGGGCUGCUUGGUGAGUUAACAAGCAACGAGGUGGUUUCCUUUAUCCUAGUUCCACCUCUUAAAAGACUUCUGAAGCAUGACUCUUACAGGGCCCUAACACCCAUUUAAACAGAAACAUCCAAUAAAACAGAACAAAACAAAACCAAAUCAAAACCGAAAGUUUAACUUCUUAAGUUUCUUAGCAAGCUAAAGGAAGAGUCCUUGCAGACAGCUUUCUGAGAAAGGCUCUUCCUUCCUACACCUCUUAAUGCUGAUUUGCAAUGGAUCUUAAGCUUGUCUGGCAUAAAAAGUAAGCCCAGAAAAAGAAGAUAAAAUAAUCUUCCCUACGACCACCACCAUCAAGAAUGAAGGACAGUUUUUCAGUGUUUACCAGUUACAAGAUACAGAAGAUCCUGGCAGAUGAUUACCCAUGCUUCAAGAGCUGUUAAGCAAAAUCUAAGGAGUUUUAGGUUGCUGCAACAGGCUGACUGUCCACAUAAGAAAAUGAACUAAUUAUGUCAAGACACAGCAGUGUAUAGGAAUGCACAUCCUUCUGCCUAUUGCAAGACUCUCAGUUAUUUCCAGGUGCCACCCAAACUGAUACUCACUGUUGUGCAUUUCUGUUCGGUAUGGUGCACUACAGCCCAAGAGAACAUAGAGCUUAAAAAUAAAAAGAAAAUUCCUAACAAAGUGUAUCAAAAUACGCAAGACAGCUAGACGAGGAAUGACAGAGCAGAGGAAGAGAAAAUUAAGUAUUUUUCAGUAAAAUACAUAUUUUAGAUAGGAGUUUCAAAUGUGGAAAGUUUCUUUUCAUAUUUACUAUAAACACUACUGGAAUACUACAACAGGUCUAUACAUCACAACAAACAAAACUAAAAAU
Molecule: non-coding RNA, 1084 nt
Organism: Cyanistes caeruleus (blue tit)
Lineage: Eukaryota; Metazoa; Chordata; Aves; Passeriformes; Paridae
Source: RefSeq, a predicted model, not a curated record